Molecule: ribosomal RNA, 406 nt
Filed under: uncultured bacterium
Lineage: Bacteria
Description: partial 16S ribosomal RNA
Rfam family: Bacterial small subunit ribosomal RNA
Source: RNAcentral
AUUGAACGCUGGCGGCAGGCCUAACACAUGCAAGUCGAACGAGUGGCGGACGGGUGAGUAAUGUCUGGGAAACUGCCUGAUGGAGGGGGAUAACUACUGGAAACGGUAGCUAAUACCGCAUACCAUCGGAUGUGCCCAUAUGGGAUUAGCUAGUAGGUGGGGUAAAGGCUCACCUAGGCGACGAUCCCUAGCUGGUCUGAGAGGAUGACCAGCCACACUGGAACUGGGGCACGGUCCAGAAUCCUAAGGGAGGCAGCAGUGGGGAAUAUUGGACAAUGGGCGCAAGCCUGAUGGAGCCAUGCCGCGUGUAUGAAGAAGGCCUUUGGGUUGUUAAGUUCUUUCAGCGGGGAGGCGUUACCCGCAGAAGAAGCACCGGCUAACUCCGUGCCAGCAGCCGCGGUAAUAC